This 432-nucleotide ribosomal RNA is filed under the name uncultured bacterium. RNAcentral's name for it is "partial 16S ribosomal RNA". It matches the Rfam family "Bacterial small subunit ribosomal RNA", at positions 29 to 506 of the family's 1533-position model. The record is from RNAcentral.
AGCGAACGCUGGCGGCAGGCUUAACACAUGCCAGUCGAGCGGGCACUUCGGUGUCAGCGGCAGACGGGUGAGUAACACGUGGGAACGUACCCUUUGGUUCGGAAUAACGCUGGGAAACUAGCGCUAAUACCGGAUACGCCCUUUUGGGGAAAGGCUUGCUGCCGAAGGAUCGGCCCGCGUCUGAUUAGCUAGUUGGUGGGGUAAUGGCCUACCAAGGCGACGAUCAGUAGCUGGUCUGAGAGGAUGAUCAGCCACACUGGGACUGAGACACGGCCCAGACUCCUACGGGAGGCAGCAGGGGGGAAUAUUGGACAAUGGGCGCAAGCCUGAGCCAGCCAGGCCGCGGGAGUGAUGAAGGCCGUAGGGUUGUAAAGCUCUUUUGUCCGGGACGAUAAUGACGGGACCGGAAGAAUAAGCCCCGGCUAACUUCGU